RNAcentral lists this ribosomal RNA (1807 nucleotides) under wastewater metagenome. RNAcentral's name for it is "bacterial LSU rRNA". It matches the Rfam family "Bacterial large subunit ribosomal RNA", at positions 1130 to 2925 of the family's 2925-position model. The record is from RNAcentral.
AAGCGUAAUAGCUCACUGGUCGAGUCGGUCUGCGGGGAAGAUUUAACGGGGCUAAGCAGUGAACCGAAGCUUGGGGUGCAUAACUUUGUUAUGCGCGGUAGAGGAGCGUUCCGUAAGCCGUUGAAGGUGGAUUGAGAAGUCUGCUGGAGGUAUCGGAAGUGCGAAUGCUGACAUGAGUAACGAUAAUGCGGGUGAAAAACCCGCACGCCGAAAGCCCAAGGUUUCCUUGCGCAACGUUAAUCGGCGCAGGGUGAGUCGGCCCCUAAGGCGAGGACGAAAGUCGUAGUCGAUGGGAAGCAGGUUAAUAUUCCUGCACCUCGCGUAAGUGCGAUGGAGGGACGGAGAAGGUUAGGUGUACCAGGCGUUGGUUGUCCUGGGGAAAGGCGGUAGGUUUGGAUCUUUGGCAAAUCCGGGAUCCUUUAAGACCGAGCACCGAGACGAGUCUUUAAGACGAAGUCACUGAUACCACGCUUCCAGGAAAAGCUCCUAAGCUUCAGCUUACGCAGACCGUACCGUAAACCGACACAGGUGGGUAGGAUGAGAAUUCUCAGGCGCUUGAGAGAACUCGGGUGAAGGAACUAGGCAACAUGGCACCGUAACUUCGGGAGAAGGUGCACCCUUUUUGGUGGCUCGUGCGAGCUAUAGCUGAAGAGGGUCGCAGUAACCAGGCCGCUGCGACUGUUUAUCAAAAACACAGCACUCUGCAAACACGAAAGUGGACGUAUAGGGUGUGACGCCUGCCCGGUGCUGGAAGGUUAAUUGAUGGGGUCAGCCGCAAGGCGAAGCUCUUGAUCGAAGCCCCAGUAAACGGCGGCCGUAACUAUAACGGUCCUAAGGUAGCGAAAUUCCUUGUCGGGUAAGUUCCGACCUGCACGAAUGGCGUAACGACAGCGGCGCUGUCUCCACCCGAGACUCAGUGAAAUUGAAAUCGCUGUGAAGAUGCAGCGUUCCCGUGGCAAGACGGAAAGACCCCGUGAACCUUUACUAUAGCUUUACACUGAACGUUGAGUUCGUCUGUGUAGGAUAGGUGGGAGGCUAUGAAACUGUGGCGCUAGCUGCAGCGGAGCCAUCCUUGAAAUACCACCCUGUCGUGCUUGACGUUCUAACCUGGGCCCAUUAUCUGGGUCGGGGACCGUGUAUGGUGGGUAGUUUGACUGGGGCGGUCUCCUCCUAAAGAGUAACGGAGGAGCUCGAAGGUACGCUCAGCGCGGUCGGACAUCGCGCACUGUGUGCAAAGGCAUAAGCGUGCUUGACUGCAAGAUCGACGGAUCAAGCAGGUAGGAAACUAGGACUUAGUGAUCCGGUGGUUCUGUAUGGAAGGGCCAUCGCUCAACGGAUAAAAGGUACUCCGGGGAUAACAGGCUGAUACCGCCCAAGAGUUCAUAUCGACGGCGGUGUUUGGCACCUCGAUGUCGGCUCAUCACAUCCUGGGGCUGUAGUCGGUCCCAAGGGUAUGGCUGUUCGCCAUUUAAAGUGGUACGCGAGCUGGGUUCAGAACGUCGUGAGACAGUUCGGUCCCUAUCUGCCAUGGGCGUUGGAGAUUUGAGAGGGGCUGCUCCUAGUACGAGAGGACCGGAGUGGACGAACCUCUGGUGUUCCGGUUGUCACGCCAGUGGCAUUGCCGGGUAGCUAUGUUCGGAAGCGAUAACCGCUGAAAGCAUCUAAGCGGGAAGCGCGCCUCAAGAUGAGAUCUCCCGGGGCACAAGCCCCCUGAAGGAACCAUGUAGACUACGUGGUUGAUAGGUCAGGUGUGUAAGUACAGCAAUGUAUUGAGCUAACUGAUACUAAUGAUCCGAGAGGCUUGACC